Molecule: ribosomal RNA, 272 nt
Filed under: uncultured Staphylococcus sp.
Lineage: Bacteria; Bacillati; Bacillota; Bacilli; Caryophanales; Staphylococcaceae
Description: partial 16S ribosomal RNA
Rfam family: Bacterial small subunit ribosomal RNA
Source: RNAcentral
CGUUAGCGGCGGACGGGUGAGUAACACGUGGGUAACCUACCUAUAAGACUGGGAUAACUUCGGGAAACCGGAGCUAAUACCGGAUAAUAUUUCGAACCGCAUGGUUCGAUAGUGAAAGAUGGUUUUGCUAUCACUUAUAGAUGGACCUGCGCCGCAUUAGCUAGUUGGUAAGGUAACGGCUUACCAAGGCGACGAUACGUAGCCGACCUGAGAGGGUGAUCGGCCACACUGGAACUGAGACACGGUCCAGACUCCUACGGGAGGCAGCAGAA